GGGGUGGUGGGGGAGAGGGGGAGAAAGCAAGCAUGCACCUUUUGGCCAAACUUUACUUUUAAAUACUUCAAGCCUAUGUUUUCUGAAAAGAGGCUCCAUGUAACUGCAAAACUGAUCUUCCCAAGGCAUUAGCUGGUUGUCUGGUGUUAGUGGGGAGACUUCAGACUUGCAUUGCCUACUUGUUCCCACACGGAGCCGGGCUUUUGUGUUUUCUUUCGUCCUGUGUCUGACAGUAGUUAGUGCAUUGCAUUUGGUUUUAGUUUCUUCAUUCGUCUUUAAUCUAGAACAGUUCUGAUGCUUCAUCUGUUAAAAGAAACUUUUAUGAUAAUAAAAUCGAGAGUCUUAUAGGUUGCUUUUUAAUCUGGAUUUAUUUCUUUCCUUAUUAGCCUCAGGCUACUAAGAACCUGCUUUAUAUUUUAAAAAAACGUUGCUGUUCAAUUGUAGAAAUUUUUGACUUUUUCUGCAUUGUCUCAGAAGUUUUUCUUAAGAGUCUCAGUCUCUUCAUUCAAGUACAGGGAAGCUGAAAUUGAGUUAACUUUUUGCAGGUAAAGAAACCUAUUGUGAUAAGAAACUUUGUUUUUGCUUUGGAUAAAAAUCAGCUGCCCUGAUUUAUGCUGCACUCACCUUUCUGAAGCCCGAUGGCGGGAUUUGUGCUUUUCUGUGCCCAGCAGGAUCUGGAAGUGGUGUUAAAUGAUUCCCUCUGAAGUGCCACUUUCAGAUUUACAUCCUCUCAGGAGCGGCCUCUGUAAAACAGAAACAGGCUGAACUGCAAGAGAACGAGCUCCAAGCGUGUAUGGAGCAAACGAAACAUGUCACACUAGCUUCUGUCUAUAAAAGGAAGUGGGAAAUAGAUUGGUUUAGUCUGGUUAUUUUUGAAACAUAUUUAAGAAGAAUUUAAUAAUCAAAUGAUAUCUUACUGUAAUACAACCAUACAUGCUAAGGAAACAGAUACUUUAAUAUGCUGAACUUAGAGAAUGUGUACUUUCAAAAAUGUUUCUUUUAGUUGUUAAAAAAAAAAUCUCACUUAACUAAUGUCACCAGUUCUUUUCAAACCCAAUACACUCUGCUCCUUAGCUUCGAGGUGUUGUCUCAGUGUAACAACAGUCUUGCUGGCAGAUCUUCAUACUCAGGAACAGCAGAUGUUUAUAAUCGUAUUCUGCUGUGGGGAGGAAGGUAGUUUUGGUUUUGGGUUUUUUUUUUUUUAAGGUCAUCAGUGUUUAGAUUAAUCAGGCUGACAUUUCUUGCUGGUGGGUCAUGAGCUGUUGAUAAUAGCACUACAUGGUGAUUCAGUUGUUCCAUUGAAUCAUCAGGGAAACCCACUGGCACUCACCCCACGUGCUCUGCAGCAGGGGUGUGCAAGGAGAAGAUGUGUGUCUCUUUUGUUUGCAUCUUAGAGUUAUUAGAGGCUGAGUCACAUAUUAAAGGAUGCUCCAGCCUUGCCAUUAUUUUAGAGAACCAUAAUCAAUAGCUUGACACUUUUUUUUAUCAUAGCCCAAGUCAUCUCUUCAUGUCGGUAGCCUUUCUGAAACCCUGUCUUAAUGAAUGAAUGUACUUGGACUGCCAGGAAGAAAAGCCAGUCCAUUCACAGAUGUGUAAGUUGUAGUUUUACUUAAACUAGUGAUGUGAGCAUAAGAACCCUUGGAAGGUGGUUGUUCACUUUGAGAGGGACAGGAAGAAGGGGAGAGACGGAAAGCUUACAUGUGUGAUGCACAUAGACUUCUUAAACAAGAAGAGGUCCUUGUAUCAAAACCUCUUUAAGGAAAACUUAAUAAGACAUUAGCUGGAUUUUUUUUUAAAUGCUGGGGAUUAAACCCAGGGUCAAGUGUUUGUUCCUUUGCUCUAACACUGAGCUGUGGCCUCAGUCUUCUGGAUUGGCUAAUCAGCUACUUGUAAGGUAAAUAGCAGUUCAGAAUGCAGUGAAUCAGAAAUUUCUGGUGUCUUUGAAUUUUGAAGUGUGGUUUUAGCAUGUUUGUGUGUGUGAACAGAGAAUAAAUAGUACUGUGACAGUUAUAUAUUAAUGUCGUUUUAGUUUUUGGUGAAAGAAUUCAGUCGAUUGUGAUGUUUUAGUGACUAUCUUCAGCACUCAGCCCAGAUCUUAGGCAGGUGCUCAGUUAUAAUUUACUAAAUAAUGUGUGUCAUUUGGGCAGAAGCCAUAGGUUUGCGGAGGACUUUAUAUUGUCAUAAAGAAUGUAUUGUAAGUAGGAAAGAUUAGUAUUCCCCUCUAUAGGAAAAAGUAAUUGCCUUAUUUAGGGUAAGCGGGUUCUUCCUAUCUUGCUCUUUUGAGAAGUCAUACAGCAUUAGAAAGUUAUGGGCCACUAGAGGUCACUGUUUAGUAAUCAACUGCUAAUGAACCAGAACCGCCAGAGGAGCCAGUAAAUUACGUGUGGGUUUUUCUAAUUAUGAAUUCAUAUUUAAUCAUUCAAUGACAAGGUAACUGGGAAUGGUUCUGUGUACUUUCAUAUGUGGUUAUGCUAAUACACAGCUACAUUUCUCAGAUGUUGGUCCUCCAUCAUUAGAGUAGCAGACAUCAAAGGCUUUGUUUUCUAAUCUUAAUUACCGAUUGUAAAACAUAAUUAACUUUGUUAAUACUUCCACACCUUACAUGGGCCAAACACUCUUUUAAAAAUAAAGUUUAAGUGCAAAUAUGCAUUGUGUUUGUGUGAGUGAUGUAAUGGUUCCUUCCUCUCCUGUGUCUUCGCGCUUCACUCUUCCCUUGCCCGGCUCUCUUCUUUCUUCUCUCUCACCUGGUUUCCUUUCUCCCUCCUUUGAAUUCCUUUUCCACUUAAAUGUACAUGUGUUAGUUGGUGACUGUUUUCCCAAGCGAUCAGCCUUGAUGGAAUGCCUAGGAGAAUGACUUCCACUGUGUCUGUUAAAGGAAUCUCAGGGCAGGCAACUUAGGUUGAGCCAACCAGCAGGAUAGGUGUGCUUGUCGGUAAGCAUGGAGCUGUGCUUGUCGCUGAGAGCAAAUGGCUCUCUGAGGCCUGUGCAGCCAGGAGUCUAUGCAGGAAAAGGCAGAUUUUCUAUCCCCUCUUCCAUGAUAUUAUAUUUCUUGAGACAAGAUCUCCUGUAGCUGACCUCUUAAGCCAUUUUGUAGUAGAGAAUGACCUUGAACUUGUGAUCUUGUUUCCACUUCCCAAGUGCUUCAUGAGCCACCAAACAUAUUUUCUUUUUUAGUGCAUUCCUGAAGAGUGAGCCCAGGCCUUCCUGUAUGCUAGAAAAAGUAACCAGUUUAUGUCUCCUGGAAUUUCCUUCUCUGCCCGAGUCAGCAAGCACACGGCAACACAGCAUCAUUUUUGAUGGUCACAUUAGUCUGAUAUUUUUAGGCAAGCUUUUACUUUUAUAACCCAGUGUGACAUUUCACUUACUUUAAUUUUGAACAUCUAAACUUUUUUAUGACAAUUCAUUUUCUUUGCCUUCAGGCUUAUUUUGUAGUGUGCUAACUCUUGUCUGGAUUACAAACUCAACUUGAACCAAAAUUGGGACUUAAUUUUUUUCGAGUAAUCUAAAAGCCCAAAAGUGUGUUGUGUGUGUACAGAAAAUAUCUGGUAAAUACUUGGUUUGUAGAAAGUAAAUAUUUUUACAUGAGAUUUUAAAAACAGACACAAGCAGAGCAUGAACUUGAAGUGAUCUUACAAUUCUUAGCAUAUCAUUUUUUUCUUUUUUGAUCCAUAGAAAGUCAUCAUUAAAUUGAUUGACUGCUGUGUCUAGUUGGGUGAAAUUUCUUGAUUUCGUUUGAAGUAGCAACCAUAAAAGAAGCAUUCAUUUGUGAAGGUUUAGAUUGAUGUUGGUCCUAAUGGUAAAGAUGAAGCUUGUUUUAUUAUCAAAAAGGAAAAAAUAUCCUAGUGUAAGAGUAAGGGAAGCCAGGCUUUUGUUUGACACCAAAGAGCCCAUCCUGUUCCUUCACAAAGCUCAGUGCUGCUGUUAGCAGUGUGGUAGGCCAAGUCAAAAAUUAAUAGUGUUCAACAACAACAAACAAACAUCAAAUAAAGAUAAUUUUUAUCAUCUUUAGUAGCAUAUAUUAGUUGUACCUAAUAGUUUUAAUGACUUAAAAUAAAAACUGGUAUGCAAUGUAGUAUAUACCUUCAGGAGUCAGAGACAAGUGGAUUUCCAAGUUGGAGGCCAGGCUGUUUUUCAUAGAGCAUUCCAGGCCAGCUAGGGCUCCACAGUGAGACCGUGUCUCAAAACAAAACAGAUAAAAACUAUUUAAUGUUGCCUGUCAUUGUGUGUGCACAUGAUAUUUAUAGUCGAUGAAUCAUGUGUCAUGGCAUGCACAUGAAGGUAGAGGAUAACUCUAUUCUCCUGCCUCCAUCUGGGUUUUAAGCUCAGGUUGUCAGCUGUGCACAGCAAGUGUAUUUAACUGAUGACCAGUCUCACUGAUCCCCAAAUACAUUUUUUAGAGACUUUAUUAGCAUAUACUAGUUGUACCUAAUAAUGUUAAUGACUUAAACUAAUUUUAUUAUGUGUUUAUCUUGUGUAAGUGUGUACAUUCGUGAGUGUGUGCCACAGCAUGUGUGCAGAUGUCAGAUAGACAACUUAUAGGAGCCAUUCCCACCUGCCCUGUGGGUCUAACUCAGGUCUUCAGGCUUGCUCAGCUGAGCUAGCUUGCUUACACAAUUAUGAUAUUUUUGUGCAUAUAUAUAAUGUGUUUUGAUCACAUUUACCCCCAUUACCCCAUUACUGUCUGGUUCCCUCUACCAUUCUAUUGACUUCAUUUUCCCAACGAGUUGAUCUUUUUGUUUCUGUGUGUGUUUAUGCAUGCACAUUUACAUGUAAACACACUCUAAUGUGUAUUGGUAACAUGAUGAAUUCAAUUAGGAUUGCUUACAAGAACAUGGGUGGGGGAUUAUACACAGGAAUUAAGUAAGCUUACCUAGAUAUAUUGAAAUACCCUGUUGCCAUAAAGUGUACCCAUGCACACAGUAAAUCACCAUAAAAUUUGAUGGAUAUGGGGCUAUACAGGUAAACCCAGAGCCUCACACAUGCCGUGCAUGGGUUCUACCACUGAUCUGUGUCCUCAGCCCUGCAGAUUCUUUGGGGAGUUUUGAAACAAGAACUCGUGUAACUUGGGUGGAACUGACAUCCUAGUCUUCUUGCCUCCACCUCCUCUUGAGUACUGGGGUUACAGGUGUGAGCUACCACAUUGCAUUUCCUAAACAUGCCUUUAGAUGCAUUUCACAUUUCUCAGAAGAUAAGGGAAAUAUUCAGAGAUCAAGUAAUUGAAUAGUAAUGUGAAAUCAAAAUGAUGGAUAAACACAGGAAGUUUAACUGCCCUGGAAGCAGUUGCUACUUCAGGGAACCAAGGACUUUGGGAAUUAGUACUUCUGGACAAAGAUCACAUGGUAAUGGAGAUCUAAGCCAUGUGCUUACACAAACUGAGAAAGCUAAGCACUUGCUUCUUAUAUUAAGAAGAAGAGGAAGAAGAGGAGGAGGAGGAGGUGAUGGAAGAGGAGAAGGUGGCAGUGGUGGCAGCAGCAGCAGAAGCCAAAACACCUCCAAACAGGCUAACCAUCAAAGAGAAAGGGUCAUCUGGAGGUCAUUUGCCUGCUGGUCAAGGAAGCUAACUAAGAACUCUGGCUGUCUACCCUAGCCAAAAUUUGAGAAACUUUAUAAUAACUCUGAAUUCAUAAGUAGAGAGUUUAAAUGUAAACUUCACUCAACUGGAAAAACAACCAAUAAAUUUAUGGGCUUCUUAGUAUAGUUAAUAUGACCUAUCACCGUAAAACAAGUGAACAUACUCUCUGUGGAAAAUCACCCUCAAUCUGGGGCUAUUAGAAUUUACAGAGAUAUUAGUAUAACCCAGUUAAGAGCAAAUCACCUGGGGCUGGCUCUGACUCUAGAACCAUAAGCCUAAAUAAAUCCUUUAUUUUUAUAGUUGCCUUGGUCAUAGUGUUUUAUCACAGUAAUAGAAAAGUAACCAAUACAUUUCAACACGGUAAGAAGAGAAAAUAUCUCUUUCAUAUCAGAGUAUGAUGAAGUUCAGCCAUUUUAAGUGUGGAGACUGAUGAAUGUGAACAGUUAUAUGUGGUUAUGUAACUGCAAUCACACUUAACACACAGAGUUUCUGUUCUCCCAGCAAGUUUGCCUUCUUUCUUUCCAUAGCCACUUAUCCAGCCCUAGGUAAACACUGUUUUACUGGCUAGGCUAUAAUAUGGCAUUUCAUAUAAUAUGAUAUGAUGUGAUAUGCUAUGAUAUGAUGUAUUUUAUAAAUAUGUAUGUGUGCAUGUGGUCUUUUGUGUCUGUAGUGAACUUGAUGAGAAUAAUUGAAGGCAGAAGACUGCUGUCACAAUACUGAGUUAACUGUCAGUUUAGAAACAGUCCAACAGAACAUUCCUUCAAGAUGGUGCUGAGGUUCCAGUUUUGGUACGAUGGAGUAAGCAUAGUCAUUCUUUUUUCUCCUGAUGGAUAUGACUAAAACACUUGGACAGAAUGCAUGCAGCUACUGCCCGAGGACCCUGAAAAGUGAAGACCAGCAGGUAGACUAAGGAGAAACAGGACUUACAUCAAAGGCCCCCCCUCAGCAAGCCUGCCCUCGGCCCAUAGCACGGAGCCUAGCUGCACACAGGACACAGAAGGAGGACUCCCCACAAAAGAAAAAUGCUAGCCAAGAGCAAGAAGGAGAUUCCUAUGAAAGAAAAAGUGGGGAAGUUAAUUAUUUCUCUCCUCUUCUCCCUCCCCUCUCUCCCUCCCUCCCUUCCCUUUCUUCUCUCUCUUUCCCUCUCUCCCUCUCUCUUUUCUCACAGCUCUUCCAUUAGUUUACUCCUGGAGUUUCAGUUUGGCUGUGGCCUUGGUAGCCAAGCAGAUCAUGGAGAUCCAAGAGGGGAAUUCUCUUUUGGCUUCAGAGGAACCUGUGGAUAGAGAGUUUAUAUUAAAUUUAUAUUGUGGGUUUUUCCUCCUGUUGGAUCCAGGGCCAGCCUUAGUUACCAAAGCACAAGACUUUCUAGUCAAAGUUUAGGAGGGUUGGGGUAGGUAUUGGAGUAUUAGGGGGUGUAAGAGGAAACACCAAAAACCAGUGUUGUAUAUGAAUUUCUGGGUCUACUUCUGGGCCCAGAAAUAUUAGCAGGACUCUGACCCUCAGCAGUACACCGAAGACUUGUCCCCUGAUUGUCAGACUGUCUUCUGGUUUGUGAAGCAGAAGCAAAGACUACUUAGAGGGUUGUAAAGGUAGGUGGGCUGGCUGGUGGUCUGGUGAAACACACACCCCACACAUCCAAAAUGUCCUGUUUUUCAUAGAAUUUAGUUUAAGGGUUUCAUAACAUGUUAUGUUCCAAAUGUCUAUGUUCCUUAAAAAGUUACAUGACACAAAGACCAGGAAAGGCUGAUGAAUUCCCCAGGGAGGAGACAAGAUGCCGUCCACAGAUUUGCACAGGUGUUUCCUAUCAGGCAUAUCAGGCAGAGGCUUUGAAACAUCUGUUACAACCAUGCUUCAGAAAGGGAGAAGAUAGGAAAUCUCAACUUUAAGAAGUAGAAAAUUUAAAAAUGGAAAUUUUUAUUUUAAAUAUUGAUUGUUGUUUUGUCCUUUUCUGACAGAUUUCUUCCCUGUAGCUCAGGCCAGCCUUGAACUUGAACUCCUGUGUCCUUUCCAAUAUUGGGAUUACAGGAUUGAGCUGCCAUGCCUGGCUCUUCCCCUCCCUGUACUCUCUCUGUCCCUUCCCAUUCCUUUUCUUUUCCUGUGGAGCUUGAGUUCUGUCUGCUCACUUUCAGCUGCUUGAUGUGGGUGCUGGGAACCAAACCCAGGUCCCCUGGAGUAGCAGUGUGCAGUUUCUUGUCAGCUUGACAACAAAUUGGGGUCAUCUGGGAGGAGAGAACCUCAAUUGAGAAAAUGACUCCCUUAGAUUGGCAUGUAGGCAAGUCUGUGGGACAUUUAGGAGCAUAAACUUGGUGACUAACAUGUUGGCUGGAAGAGACUGUGCUUUAAGAGCUGUGUGGAGGGCUGGGUAGAGAAGAAGUUGCCUGGCCCGGGCAAGGCUGUGGGUGCAAGGCCCAGUUUCAGAACCAGAAAAGAAGUAACUGGGUUGUGAGGGCUCUCUCCCCACUUGGUGCAUGGGCUUUAGUGUUUACUUUUGUAAAAGAGUCUGGUGGAGACAGCUUGUGCUUGUCCUUCCAUUGUCAUGUGCAUACACGCUGUUCUGUAGGUAGAAGGGUCUUUUAUGUCAUCAAUAAGUAUUCUUUUUAAUCCGAGGAUUGACCUUUCGUCUCUCUGAUGAUUUAAAGCAUUGUAAUAGCUUUCUUCCUGGCAUUGCAGCGACCAGAACUUAUAAGCAUCUUGUAAAUAGAUCAUGCAUAUUUCUGACACUCUUCUUCAGAAUGUUCUUUUAAGAUGAUAACAAACCGAGAAAAAGUACUUCUGUUUUUACUAAAAUUCAGUUCAUCAUUUCCCUGAGUUAUUUUCUACAUUAUUUCUCUCCUGUCUGUGUUUUCUGUCAAUUUCUUAACUUGAUUUAUUUAGUAUUAUAGAAAGAGCUCAUGCUCCAGAAAGAGUAAACAGGUAAACAACAGAAGUGGCUAAUGUGCCUGAUGGUGGGAGGCCGAGUGAUGUGCCUGAGAGUGAUGCUCACACUAGAGGGCCUAGCAUCAUCUUCAUGACCCCAGGGAUGGGGGUCUGCAAAUGACACUAAGGCAGAACUUUAAAGAAUAUGUACACUUUUGCCAGCUACGUAAAUGCCUUGGGCAUUAAACUUUAAAAUGUAUUUUUAGAUUUUUAAAAUUUUAUUGUAUGCAUGUUUUUGCCUGCUUGUAUGUAUGCAGAUCAUAUGGAUGCCUGGAGCCUGUAGAGAAAAAAGAAUGCAUUGGAUACCCUGGAACUGGAGUUACACAUGGUUAUGAGCCACCAUGUGGGUGCUGGGAAGUGGACCUGGGACUUCCCACAAGAAGCAAGAGCAAAGUGCUCUUAAUUAAUGGCUGAGCCAUCUCUCCAGCUCUUACAGGUCCUGUAGGUGCCAGUCAGAUCUGAGGUGCCAAUCUUAGUGAGGCUGCUGUACAGCCCCUAGUACAGGUGAGUGGCUGUGCCUGAAGAAGAACCACUUUGGGGGUGGCUGGAGGAGAAGGUGCAGGGUAAGUGUUAGGACAUGCGAAAUUGUGUCUGUGAGGGCUAGCAUGUUGUAUGUAGCUCAUGGCUGUGCAUGCUGUCAAGAAGUAGGGUGUAUUAAAGGAUGAAGAGCUGAAAGGUUAAAGAAAGAUAGAUAAGAAGUAGAACUACUGUAAUUCUCACAAAACAGAUGGAGAUUUCACUUAACAGUUAUCAGCACUCAAGUAAAUAGUUGCCUUUACCCUAUACAUGGGCUCACUGCAUGCUAUAAAUGUAUUUACUCUAAAGUUUUAGUGCUUGAAGUUCACUACAAUAAAGAGAUUGCCAGGUGGGUGCAAACUGUAAAUAGUAAUGUGUCCUUUACACUCAUGCAAAUAUGGUUGGCUAUCCUUCCUUGUGGAUCAUUAGAAAUGAUUGCAGAGGAAGACGUGGUGGCUGGGGAGUUAGCAAGAAUAACUGGAAAGGAUCCUCAGCAUCUCAUGAUAGAAGUAGGCAGCUGCCUCUUCACCUUUGAGUUCAGGAUCUCAAAGGAUCUCCAAGUGGGGCUCAGAGAUGGGCUCCUGUAUUCGCUCAGCAUUCGCUUCAUUUCUUGUGGUCUCCUUCACUCCAUUACUGUUAGGUCAUCUUGCCCUUUGCUUACUCCUCCGAGAUCAUUCUCACUUGUCAGCUGUCAUUUUUCCUUCCUUUAACGUUACAACAUGUCCUUGAUAAAGCAGAGGGAAAAUAAUUACCACAUUUUCUUCUGUAGCAAGUUGGGGUGAUGGGGUCCAGGCUGAUGUGGAAUAUGGCAGUAAUUGGAUUAUCAGGCUUUGAUUAUUAGCAUUUUAAACUUUGAUUAUUAAUGCUGAUGAGAAGACUGUGAAGUGUGUAGGAAAAUAACCAAUUCCUAUCAUAGAGGAAGCAUUGUUAAAAGAUAGAUGUUUUUAAAGGGUAAAAGUUCACUGAAGUUAUCAGCUACUUAAUAAUAGACUUACUUUGUUUUUCAGUUAUUCUUAAAGCUGAAAUAUACAGUAGUUACACAAUGAGUUUUUGUUUUUACAGUAUUAGAAUGUGCUCUGCCACUCUCUGCCCAAAGACAGAACUUCAAAACCCAGGGUUCUGCAAAGGGACUGCCCUGGCUCUCUGUAGACUCUGGACGCGUGGCUCUCAGGAGCAUGGAGCGUGGUUGCAGCUCAGCACUGAGUGCCUUCUCAGUCCGGGCAGGUGUCAGGGAAUUGUUCUUUAAGUGAUUUACAAAAUGAAGGUAAACCACUGUAUGUAUGCUUUGAUUGCCCAGCAGUUAAACCCCUCUGCAUGUCUUCUGGCUUUCUGUAACGCCCGGUCCUCCUCAAGCCAUGCUCGCACCACACAGACUAUUCUGUUGCUCUUUCAGCAUAAGCAGGGCUAUUGUGAUAUUUAUCUGAAUUCAAACAAGGCUAAUUAAAAGAGCUGCUGACAGUUGUUGUGAUCUGACUUUGACUGCAGCUUGAUGGUCAUUAUGGGUAAAUAAUGAACCAGGUCUGCAAGUGUAGCAGCUGCCAACUUGGGAUAGAAGAACGGCUAUUGCUUCCAAUUUAAGGAUCUAUCGACCGCUUCUCUUCUCCCUGCAGAUCUUCUGCAGAAAACAAAUGUUUUCUGCUGCUGUGUAUUGUGGUUUCAGCUGUUUUAGAUAUAGCCUAUAAUUUCCUUCUUUAAUAUUUAACUUAGGACAUUAUUAGCUUUCAGAGUUAACAACUUUUCUGUUUUAAAAAAGUUUGGCUUUGUCCUUGUGAAUGCCAUAACCAGCUAACCAGCUGUGGCUAUUUAUAUGCAUUUAAUUUGUACAUUAUACAAGAAUUAGUAUAAACAGCAAGAUACGACCUCUGGCAGUGUUUCAAAGGCCUUCAUAGAUAGCUUUUUUUGUUAAUAGAUUGGCGCAUGCCCAUUGCUUUUGUUUUCAUAAAAAUGGACACCUCUUACCAGACCUCAAGUUUAGGUUUUGUUCACUUUUUCAGUGGCUUUGGAAUAUUUUGAUAUGUGCUGUAUUUAUCAAUUCAGAGUAGCUGCAGUAGCUUUCAUUAAAAUGCAAUAGUGAAUAUAUUGUCGCUCCAUCACGAGCGUCUCCUUGUCCUAUUAGUGAAUAGGAACAGGUACAUUAAAGGUGGCACGAGAACAGACUGCAUCCAUAGAUUAAUGUACUUCCCUGCAGAUUUCCUACACUUAAGAACGCAGCUUCUGGAUCUAAUGGUUACAAUCUAGAGUCUCAUACAGGCCGGAACUGAGCUCCAUCCUACCACUUAGUCACUCGCUAUGGAAAAGCCUGGCUGCAUUAUGUAAAGCCCGAGGAUACAGCAGUGCUUUGUGCAUAAUGUGGCAGAGCUUUGAGAUCUUGCUGGGAGGAAAUGAUCCCAACAUGCCCCUGGAAGAGAACCUUACUUUGAAAAAUAAUGAUGAAAAAUUGCUUCUUUUGCCAUGUAUUUGUCUUUGUUUAUUUCAGGAAAGGCUAACCAAACUUUGUUUAUCAGACUCCAGAAUAGAACUGUGAAUGUUUUUGCUUUCUCGUCUCCAGCUUGGAUUAUGCCAGAAGUAAUGUUAACAAGGGGUUAUGUUAUGCUGGCUUAUGUUAAACCAGAUCACCCCUAACAUGUGCAGAGCCAUUCAUCUGUGUCACCAAAACCCAGGAGAACGUCUGACAUGGGCUCUGCAACAGAAACAGUGAUCGCUUACAAAUCAAACAUGGCACGCUCUAAACUGAUUGUGCACGGCAAUCUUUUCUAGAAAGGACAACUAAUUGAACAUGAUAAAGUGUAAAGUUAAUUAACACCCUUAAAUUUGUUGAUUACUUUCACGGGAUUAUAUUGUUCGUUGAGUAGCAGCUUUCUGUCCCAGCUGUCGCCUUUUUUCAGCGAAUGACGCUGGUAAACAAUAGAGACACCAUAACAAGUCGUAAAUGGUCCCUGUGACAGCAGCCCCUUGUGAGGCUGCAUCUGUAGAAAAUGAUUAGAACAAUUGCAUUUUAAAGACAGCUCACAUCGCAGCCCAGGUCCCUUCGGCCCUCUUCUUGAUCUCUUUUGAUGGCAGACUGGUUAAAACAUUUAAGUUCUUUUGAGUAAAUUAGGUGAUUUACUGCAUUUUUUUUUUUUGAGAGUGCUUGGCAGCUUGGCUUUUACAGUGUUAAAGGCAGAUACAGCUGGAGCUUACAUUUUAGUGUCCUGUCUCCUUCCUGGGCUUGAAGGCCUCUUUCCGAUUGGCGUGGGUAAAACUAGCUCAUCUGUGAUUCCUAAGAGGUUAUCUUAGGUUACCCAUCCUUGAUUCAGCUUUUUUCGUAAGGCCAAUUCCAAAUUUCAGCUCUUUGCUACUCUUAGGCCCAAGACUUUGGCAUGCUUAGGAUGAAUAGAUUUACUUGCUACAUUUUAUAAUAUUUGCGGUUUACUAUGUCAAAGACCUUUCCUUUAUAUUCUCUGCUGCUUCCGAAGAAGCAUGGCACCUUUUGAGUCUAAAAUGUAGAUUUAAUGGUAUUGGGAUUUGUCUGAGCUACCAGUGUGAUUUGAGUGGAGAUUUCACCUAGGCCAUUUAUUUAUCACGUGUUUUCAUUUUUACCUCUUUAUGAUACUGUCCCUGAGUGUACACACACACACACACACACGGGUUUCUUUAUAUGGCAUUAAGUGAAGAUGCCAGUGCCACAUACCGAGAAUCACACUGCUCCAAAAUUGAGGUCGUCCUUUUGUGUGUAAUUGAUGAGUAGCAGUGUUAUUUAGUAUUUGGCACGCUGGCUUGCUAAUAUAUAUUUGUUGUGGACAGCUAGAUGGAGCUUUACCUCACUCGCAUUCAGAGAGCUCCUGCCCACUCGACACACCAUAGGAAAACUCAUGAGUUUGAGUAGUUACGUGUGCUUUUUACCAGUGCCCCUCGGAAAGCUACAGGAAUAGGAAAAGAAAGCCAAGACUGUGGGGCUCUCACUGAGUGCAGUCUUGGAGAGGGAGGGAUGGGGAGGGGAGAUGGGAAGAUGAUCUCAAGUGAAGGAGCAGUGAGCAUGUGUGCACAGAAACCCACAGCUCUCAGUGGACACAGCGAGCAGGGGUAGGGAUACUUAUUCACUGGCAAGAAAGCUGAAGAUUUAGAAAUUAGAAGAUUUAAGGAGAGAAAGAUUAAAAAUCCUCUGCUUCCUACAACUCUCAGGAGGAUCAAAGGAGGGAGGUGACAGUAGGAGUUUACUGUCCUGUGCUGAGUCAAGCAUACAGGGUCUUCAGAGAAAGUGACUUUCUUUGACUUGGUGCGGGACAUAGGUGACUCUCCGAGGCCUGCUUAGUAAUAGUAAUGAUGUCUGUAGCUGGUUGUGCUCGCAGGAAGGCAUCAUCCGAGACACCAGCUUGUGCUGGUUCCUAAACCAAACUGCCUCAAACCGGGAGACGGAUUAGCAUGAGUAUUAGAACAAGGUGACUAAUGUUGAUUUUUACUGUUUACAGAUGGUAGACCAAGUCAGGCAGAAGGGAAGAACUGAGUAUUAACUUGGUUCACUUUGAGCAAACAGUCCUUUAACAUAAAAAUAUGAAGAAUGUUAUUUGUUAUUUCAUUUUCUGUAUUCUAUGUAAAGUACCAAAUAAGUAUUAAAAAUAAUAUGUAACCUUAAAAUAUGUAACUCAGUUCAAGGAGAAAAAACUCUGAGGUUGCUUUAUUCCUCUCUAAAUGAAGUUUGCUCUUACUUUGAAUAUAACUUUAUUUAAUUUUAUUGUGAAAUCUUUGUUUUGUAUUUGUUAAUGGUGAGUUGCUCUUUUCUUUUUUCUCCUUUUGUGGUGUGUGUGUGUGUGUGUGUGUGUGUGUGUACUGUGUGUGUGCAGAGCACCAACACUGACAUUGUUCCUCAUGGCUCUCCACUUUGUUUAGUGGGGAGGGGUAUUCACUGAGCAGAAGGAGAGCUCUCUAUUGGCCUAGCUCAGCCAGCUUGCUCCUGCGAUCCCUGUCUGUCCUAGAAUGCUAGGAUUAGAGGUGGCUGCCACACUUGCCUGGCUUUACGUGGGUCCUGCAGAUAAGAACGCUCAUCCUAAUGCGUGCACAGCAGCAGCUUUAUCCACUCGGCUGUACCCCUAAGCUUUUAGUUGACUCUUAAUUGAUAAAAGUAGUAUACUACAUACAUAUCAGGUAUGACAUAAUUUUUAAGGAUAUGUAUACUUUGUUGAAUGACUAAGUCAAACUGUCUAGCAUGCAAUAUUGCAUAUACUUGCUUUUAGUUAUGAGAGUACUUAAAAUCUACUCUCAGCAAUUGACAGAAAUACAAUUCACUGUUACUAACGGUAGUUAUCACAUCGUUCAGUGGGCCCCAGAACUUCACCCUCUGUAUUUCUGGCUUUCUACUUUCUAAACAUAUUACUCUGAUAAGCAGAUACAAAGCUCUGCAGAGAGGUGGGAGUUACGUGUGGUUAGGGAGCAGGUACAGUCCGUGAGCACUCUGGGACAUCCCAUACUGUCUGCUCAGGUCAUGACUGCUUUACUGUUUCAAUCAGAUUUGCAAGUGCAUUUGGACACCAUAGGAGUAUUUGGGAAGGUUUGCAGGGAGAAAAGGAAAGAGAAAAUGGUACAAUUAUACUAUAAUCUCAAAAGAAAAAUUUAAAGGUAUAAACCUGAGUCCCCAAGCCUUGGGUGCUAAAGUUGAGUAUAGGUGUAUCCUUGGGGAGUGAAGGGUAAAGAGAGAGUUCUGUGACCCCAUGACUUUACAUUUUAGAUUUCCUGGGAUAUUAAUAUUUCAAAUGUUCUUCAAAUAUGCCAGGAAACAGAUCUUAAUUUUUGUUUCAGGAAACAUAUUUACCAUGUUACCAGAUUCCAUACACCUGUCUUGAACAUUUCCUGAUUUUUCUUUUGCAUUUUUCAACAAUAGGAGUCCAAAAAAAAAGGAAAGAAGGAACCAGAACUUGGUGGUGAUUGCCAUCUGUCAUCUGACCCUGGUUCAUAUGAUGCUAUUUUUUGAACAUAUCUCUUUUCUAUAGUUAUGAUUUAGAUCUUUUUUCUUUUAAGAUUAUAAGUGUAUCAUUUUCAUCUCCCCACUCCCAAACUCUCCCAUUACCCAGCCUAGCUUGUUUUCGAAUUCAUGGCCCCUUUCAUUAAUUGUUGUGUAGAUGCAUAUAUACAAUUCCUAAAUACAAAAUGUUCAGUGUGCAUGUUACUCAUGUGUGUGUUUUCAGGGCUGGCCAUUUUGGUAUUGGAUAAGCAGUUGUGCUCUUCCCUGGGGAGACUGUUUCUCCCACUAAGUAUUCCUAAGCUCGAUAUUGUUCUCUGUUUAGGCCUGGUCUCCCGAGCUUGCCUUAUCCAUGUUAGCAUGGCUUGUGAUCAGGCAGUCGUGUUGGUGAGACUUUUGGGCUGUAGCUUCUGCUACUCCUAGGAGCCGCGAUCUCAUAGCAACUCCCGUUCCUCUGGCUCCUCGAAUCCUUCUGUUCCCUUUUCACAGUGGUCCCUGGGCUUUAGGGUUAGGCGUUGUAUAGGUGUAUCCUUGGGGAGUGGAGGGUAGAGAGAGAGUCUGGGUCUCCCAUGGCUUUACAUUUUAGAUUUCCUGGAACAGUCUUAUCUCAAAUGCCAGGAAACAUAUCUCAUUUUUGAUUAGGAAAACAUGUUUACGAAUUGAACCUUCUUACCUAGCAAUUGAAGCACUGACUAGAUAACUUGCUGAUGAUACUUUUCUCCUUUGAGUCAUUUAUACUUCUCUAGCUUGCAUAGAAUUGGAUUUUAUUGGCUUGUGUGGAUUUUCUUCACCCUUGUCCUCCCACCAACAGUGGAUCUUGUACAUCUUAAGUAGUAAGAGCUGGUUCUUAGUACCAGGUUGCAAACCACUGAAUGAUGGGUCUCCAGUUGUGGAAUUUGUGUGUGUGUCAACUGUAAGUCUGUUUUUAAAAUAGGAAGACUGGCUAACUUAGACUUUGAUUAGGCAUAAGAAUGCUUCUCCUCACACUGUGAUGGAUACAGCUGGCUUUUAAGAGCAAAGUAUUCGUCUUAGUUUGGGUUUAUUGCUGUGUUGAGACACCAUGACCAAUGUAAAUCUUAUAAAAGACAACAUUUGAUUGGGGCUGGCUUACAGUUUCAGAGAUUCAAUAUAUUAUCGUCAUGGCAGGGAGCAUGGCAGCAUGCAGAUGGCAGGGAGCAAGGCAGCAUGCAGGCAGACAUGGUACUGGAGAAAAAGCUAAGAGUUCUAUAUCAUGGUCCAAAGGCCGCCAGGAGAAGAAGACUGUGUCCCUGAGGGGGUGGAGCUUAAACACUAGGGGCCCUUAAACCCCACCUCCACAGUCAUGCACUUCCUCCAACAAGGCCACGCCUCCUAACAGCACUUCCCGUGGGCCAAGCAGAUUCAAGCCAUCACAGUGAUUGUGUCUAUUUUGAGUGAUUUGGGCACUUGCAUUUUCAUUUGUUUGUAUAAUUGAGUUCAUUGUUUUUAUUCUAGGACUAUGUGAGAGAAUUUCUAAAGACAUGAUUGUAAGAAAUGGCUAGAAGCUUUAAAGGCAGCUACAGGAUUUGGGCUUGUUGGAUUUAAGUUAAUAUAUGUAUGUUUAAAAAAAAUCUUUUUUUUCCUUUUACACUUGUACUUAGCUAAAAGGCCAAGAAGCAAUAAAGUAGACUAUAUAGGGUAGGUAUGGGCUUAAUCAACUGAAGGCCAUUUAAUUUAUUUACUUACUUACUUUUGAGACAGGGUCUCUCUCUGUACUUCUGGCUAUCCUGGGACUCGCUCUAUAGACCAGGCUGGCCAGAACUCAGAUCCUUCUGCCUCUGCCUCCCAAGUGCUGGGAUUAAAGGUGUGCACAAUAUCAUCCACUAGACAGUUUGACUUAAGCCAUUCUGCAAAGUGUGCAUAUCUUAAAGUAUUAUACAUAAUAAGUAGUAUACUAUAUCAUUUCUCAUGAUCAGCCUUUCUUUUUUCUAAUGGGGAACUUUUAUCCAGUGUAUCCCAGUUUUGUGUGUUAGCAUCAUACAUGUUUGAAUGUGGAUGCAUGUGAAUUUGAAAACCCCAAAUGAUCAUAGAAUCAUGUUGUCUGACUUCCCUCAUAGAUUGGAAGUGGAUAGAGCAGGCAGCAUUUAAGUGGAUUACUAGAGUGACAAAAAAGCUUGGUAAACCCUUAGCAUCAAGAGUAUUUCUGUGAGAACAGGUCUCACCUGGUACCGCUUCGCUGUGUUUCUUCCCUUUUGCCUUCUGUCUUAGUCCACUUUGUGAUACUUUAGUAGUACCUGAGAGACUGGGAACUAGGGAUAUAGAGUUGGUAGAGUACUUGUCUGAUAUGCUCAAGACCCUGGAGUUGAUGCCUAGCAACCACCAGAAGCACCACUCCUAAGAAAAAGAGAGAGACUAGUUAAUUUAUAAGGGACAGAAUUUUAUUUCUUAUGGUUCUGAAGGUUGGAAAACCAAAAAUAAACGGCUGUCAUUUGUGAAGGGCCAUCAUGACUUGAAGGAACAGGAUUUGGAGGAUGAGGGGCAUAAGAAUGAGAGAGGCCACACUUGUCCUUCCAUAAAAUACCCAUGCCCUUGAUGUUGCAUGAGUCCGUGCGUGAUGGAGCCUCCGUGUUCUAACGAGCUCUCAUUGGUUCUCACUGUUUAGCACUGUUGUCUUGGGGAUGACUUACUUUUUGGAAUGCACAUUUAAGGAAUAGCCUCUCCUUUUCUGUCUUUCUCUGGGUAAAUUGUCAUCUACUGAACAUCUCUUUUGUACCAGGCUCUGUGGGUAUGUGCCUCAAGAGUCAAUUAUCUCUACCUUCCCAGAAAUAGUGUUCCUAUGGAGAAUUGUAUCAGAAAUAAAGGUAUUGAAAUAGGUGAUACAAAGUCAAAGCAGGAAAGUUAACAAGUGUUAAGUCUGGCUUCUCUGAAGAGGCAAAUGUUGAGCCUGGUUCAUGAUUAUUGGAAAAUUUGUCAUGAGUAGUUUGGAGAAGAAUGUGCCAAACUGAAAAGAAUAAGUGCAAGGCUCGGAGAUGAGAUAAGGUCAUGCUUGAUCUGUUUCAGGGACAGCCAGAGGCCAGAGUGCCUUGAAGCCUGAGUGACAGAAAGAUGGGUAUGGAUAAGACAGGAGAGGAAGCUGUGGCUUUAUUAAAAGAGGGCUUUGUAGGACUUUGGAUCUCAUGCUGAGCAUGAUGGGAAGUUUUGGGAUUGCUGAGAGAAGAGAAAAACUGUGGGCUAGAUUUAUAUUCUAGGAGAGUUCCUCUGGCUGUUGUGUUGAGAAUAGAUGUUGGAGACCAGGACAGAAGGGAGAUCAAGUGCACAGGUUAUAGAAAAAUGUGGCCAGGUCACAGGCGCAUAACUUCUUAGAAGCAAUACGUAUGUGUGAUUAAGCUCUCACCCCACAGCUAGCUACAGAGCUUGAUGUAUAGGAGGUGCCCAGUGGACUAUGUUGAAUGUAAGCAAAUACGGAUUCUCCAUCUCUUCCCAUAAGAUGCACUCAACUGUUACUGAUUUUUCUAGGUCUUCGUGGUGAUUUUUUUUCCUCUCCCUACUCUUACUUUUUAAGACAGGGUCACAUUUUGUUGCUUAAAUUGGUCAGAAUUCAUGAUUUGGCUAUCUUAGCCUCCCAAGUGGCAUGUCAGGCAUAUGCCAACACACCCAGCUUACAGUGUUGUAAUCUUAACACUAACCGAACGUGGACUUCUAUAGAACUUCUUAACCAGGGCCAGCCUGCUUCACUUGGGGUGAGUCCACAGCAGCUAAUAUUCAGCAAGCAAGGCUAAAACUAACCUAGAAGAGACAAUGACUUAGAUAACCAGAUAGGGAAAAUGCCACAUCACACAUAAAAAUUGUAAAGACCUUCUAUUUAAGUGGUAUUUACAGCUACUCUAUAAAGAAGUAUUAAUGCCUUUCCCAUUUUAUACACUGCCUUGGAGUUUCUUCUUUAUCACACAACCAUCAAGUGUUAUUCUCAAAACCAGUUAUUACAUCUCCAGAGCCUUUAUUCUCUGAACCAUGAUUAUUGAUUUAUUUUCCAAACAAUCAUCUAUUAAAUAUAUCCUGCUGUAUACAACAUAAUAGGAAUACUGACAUAAGCAAGACCCCAUGCUGACCCCAUAGGUAAAAUCA
Molecule: long non-coding RNA, 19019 nt
Organism: Mus musculus (house mouse)
Lineage: Eukaryota; Metazoa; Chordata; Mammalia; Rodentia; Muridae
Product: predicted gene, 33047
Exons: 2
Source: RefSeq, a predicted model, not a curated record